RNAcentral lists this ribosomal RNA (465 nucleotides) under Vreelandella stevensii. RNAcentral describes it as "partial 16S ribosomal RNA". It matches the Rfam family "Bacterial small subunit ribosomal RNA", at positions 338 to 795 of the family's 1533-position model. The record is from RNAcentral. Lineage: Bacteria; Pseudomonadati; Pseudomonadota; Gammaproteobacteria; Oceanospirillales; Halomonadaceae.
CCUACGGGAGGCAGCAGUGGGGAAUAUUGGACAAUGGGGGCAACCCUGAUCCAGCCAUGCCGCGUGUGUGAAGAAGGCCCUCGGGUUGUAAAGCACUUUCAGUGAGGAAGAACGCCUGGUGGUUAAUACCCAUCAGGAAAGACAUCACUCACAGAAGAAGCACCGGCUAACUCCGUGCCAGCAGCCGCGGUAAUACGGAGGGUGCGAGCGUUAAUCGGAAUUACUGGGCGUAAAGCGCGCGUAGGUGGCUUGAUAAGCCGGUUGUGAAAGCCCCGGGCUCAACCUGGGAACGGCAUCCGGAACUGUCAAGCUAGAGUGCAGGAGAGGAAGGUAGAAUUCCCGGUGUAGCGGUGAAAUGCGUAGAGAUCGGGAGGAAUACCAGUGGCGACGGCGGCCUUCUGGAAUGACACUGACAAUGAGGUGCGAAAGCGUGGGUAGCAAACAGGAUUAGAUACCCUGGUAGUC